RNAcentral lists this ribosomal RNA (855 nucleotides) under Glaesserella parasuis. RNAcentral's name for it is "partial 23S ribosomal RNA". It matches the Rfam family "Bacterial large subunit ribosomal RNA", at positions 2072 to 2925 of the family's 2925-position model. The record is from RNAcentral. Lineage: Bacteria; Pseudomonadati; Pseudomonadota; Gammaproteobacteria; Pasteurellales; Pasteurellaceae.
GCGGCUAGACGGAAAGACCCCGUGAACCUUUACUAUAGCUUGACACUGAACAUUGAAUUUUGAUGUGUAGGAUAGGUGGGAGACUAAGAAGCAGGCACGCCAGUGCUUGUGGAGUCGUCCUUGAAAUACCACCCUUUAACGUUUGAUGUUCUAACGAAGAUUACGAAACGUGGUCUCGGACAGUGUCUGGUGGGUAGUUUGACUGGGGCGGUCUCCUCCCAAAGCGUAACGGAGGAGCACGAAGGUUUGCUAAUCACGGUCGGACAUCGUGAGGUUAGUGCAAUGGUAUAAGCAAGCUUAACUGCGAGACAGACAAGUCGAGCAGGUGCGAAAGCAGGUCAUAGUGAUCCGGUGGUUCUGAAUGGAAGGGCCAUCGCUCAACGGAUAAAAGGUACUCCGGGGAUAACAGGCUGAUACCGCCCAAGAGUUCAUAUCGACGGCGGUGUUUGGCACCUCGAUGUCGGCUCAUCACAUCCUGGGGCUGAAGUAGGUCCCAAGGGUAUGGCUGUUCGCCAUUUAAAGUGGUACGCGAGCUGGGUUUAGAACGUCGUGAGACAGUUCGGUCCCUAUCUGCCGUGGGCGUUGGAGAAUUGAGAGGGGCUGCUCCUAGUACGAGAGGACCGGAGUGGACGCAUCACUGGUGUACCAGUUGUCUCGCCAGAGGCAUUGCUGGGUAGCUAAAUGCGGAAGAGAUAAGUGCUGAAAGCAUCUAAGCACGAAACUCGCCUUAAGAUGAGUUCUCCCUAGCUAUAAGCUAGUAAGGGUUGUUGAAGACUACGACGUAGAUAGGUCUGGUGUGUAAGCGGUGUGAGCCGUUGAGCUAACAGAUACUAAUUGCCCGAGAGGCUUAACUAU